CAGAACCGAGCUGGUCUUUUUGGCACCGACGGCAAAGGCAGGGGUGGUCGGUGGCGGAAGCUCUGGCGGUUGAAAGGUGACGGCUGGACAAAUGUCGAAGGGAGAGAGAGAGAGAGAGAGAGAGAGAGAGAGAUAGAGAAACUGAGGGAGAAGAGAAAGAAUGAGGUUAUAAAAAAUAUGAUUUUCCAAAUUACUGUUUCGC
Molecule: long non-coding RNA, 202 nt
Filed under: Prunus persica (peach)
Lineage: Eukaryota; Viridiplantae; Streptophyta; Magnoliopsida; Rosales; Rosaceae
Description: long non-coding RNA (PPER_LNC003455)
Source: RNAcentral